GGAGAGGUGGCAGAGUGGUCGAAUGUACCUGACUCGAAAUCAGGCGUUGGUGAAAGCCAACCGUGGGUUCGAAUCCCACCCUCUCCGCCA
Molecule: transfer RNA, 90 nt
Filed under: Luteibacter rhizovicinus
Lineage: Bacteria; Pseudomonadati; Pseudomonadota; Gammaproteobacteria; Lysobacterales; Rhodanobacteraceae
Also listed under: 11 other names
Rfam family: tRNA
About the family: Transfer RNA (tRNA) molecules are approximately 80 nucleotides in length. Their secondary structure includes four short double-helical elements and three loops (D, anti-codon, and T loops). Further hydrogen bonds mediate the characteristic L-shaped molecular structure. tRNAs have two regions of fundamental functional importance: the anti-codon, which is responsible for specific mRNA codon recognition, and the 3' end, to which the tRNAs corresponding amino acid is attached (by aminoacyl-tRNA synthetases). tRNAs cope with the degeneracy of the genetic code in two manners: having more than one tRNA (with a specific anti-codon) for a particular amino acid; and 'wobble' base-pairing, i.e. permitting non-standard base-pairing at the 3rd anti-codon position.
Source: RNAcentral